CCUACGGGUGGCUGCAGUGGGGAAUAUUGCGCAAUGGAGAAGAACUCUGACGCAGCAAUACCGCGUGAGCGAAGAAGGUCUUCGGAUCGUAAAGCUCUGUUAUCAGGGAAGAAGAAAAUGACGGUACCUGAUGAGCAAGUCCCGGCUAACUACGUGCCAGCAGCCGCGGUAAUACGUAGGGGACAAGCGUUGUCCGGAAUCACUGGGCGUAAAGGGCGCGCAGGCGGUGAUUUAAGCAGGAUGUGAAAGGCUACGGCUCAACCGUAGACAUGCAC
This 275-nucleotide ribosomal RNA is filed under the name uncultured bacterium. RNAcentral describes it as "partial 16S ribosomal RNA". It matches the Rfam family "Bacterial small subunit ribosomal RNA", at positions 338 to 626 of the family's 1533-position model. The record is from RNAcentral.